AGAAAUUCUCCCUUGGCUUUUUUUUUUCUGCUGUUAGAUUAGGAGUGACUGCUUCCCUGCUACCUGGUUUAUACAGGUAGUCCUCACGACUACAAUUGAGCCCCAAAAUGGCUGCAGUGAGAAAGCAGGAAGGGAAGGAGGAGGAAGAAUCUCUGCUCCAAAGUGAAAGGAUUCGUG
Molecule: long non-coding RNA, 177 nt
Organism: Ahaetulla prasina
Lineage: Eukaryota; Metazoa; Chordata; Lepidosauria; Squamata; Colubridae
Exons: 3
Source: RefSeq, a predicted model, not a curated record